ACACACACACACACACACACACCCCUCAAGAAGGGAAGGACGGGAAUUCGCAUUCACCCUCUCCCUCAGUACCCUACCCGCCUCUUCUCUAAUCUUUUCUUGUUUUGGUGGCAGAGGAUAGGAGUGCAGAGAGCGUCCCUCCAGCGAACCGCCACGAAGUUCACCCACUAAGUUCAGGCUUGGGGAUGGGACAGGAGCAUCUUGCCAAGGAGCAGCUGGUCUUAGCAUACAGGGAAGAAGGCCAGAUUUCUCUCUUUAGGCCUUCGGAUCCCCCACCCAUCCAUCUCUCUUUAGGUCGCCCAGAGAGAGGUUUCCUCGCUCCCCAAACACCCCUAGAGCAGUGUUGCUGCGAACCAGGACUUAUAAACCAAAGUCUUGAGACCCCGGGACUUGCUUUCCUUCGCUAGAUUAUCUUCUCUGUCUCUAGGUGAAGAAAGGGGCCUCCUGUCCAAGACACAGAAUUACUCCCAUCUAGAACCAACUGUCUCCAGACUUCUUUCCAGCUUCCCACCAGGCCCCCAGAUGGUUUUGCAGUCCUAAAUUCCCGGUCCACACCCCACUACUCAGUCCUCGAAGGUCCUUUGACUGCCGGUGGAACUGGAGCUCCUUGGAGGACAGCCUGGGUCCUGACUAUCCUGCCCGAAUCCCUAGGACCCAUUCUCAAGAAAGAUGCUCAGCUACCACUGCAGGUUGAUGCCCAGACAGCACUAGAAUGGUGGCAGCACCUCUCUCUCUCUCUGCCCCAGGGGUGGUUCUGAGAGUCCCAACUCCCAUGGUUGGGCGCUGAGCCCAGGGAUAUUUUUUUUUCAAUGCUAGAAAAAAAAAAAAUCUUUAAUGGUAAAAUGUCAUUAUCAUUUGGAUAAUUGCCAAGGAAGCUCAGAAAUUCUCCCUGUCAUUGUCUGGCAUGGGUUCACCUGUCCACCUUUGAGUCAGUGACAGCUCUCCUCCCUGGGUAGGGCUGCAGGUUGAUAAGUGUAACCCUGAGGCAUCUUGACUAGACUUGGCCAUGACUAAGAGGCUCAGGGAAGAGCAGAGACGGAGGGAGGAGAAGGCGUUGAGGAUGUCAAUACAGGGCACAGCUGUGGCCGAUGAGUGGGCACACAGCUUCUCUGUGCCCCUUCAGAAGUCAGUCCUUAGACCUCCUUGCACCUUGGGUCUUUCUUUAAUAAAAGCAGAUGCAUCUUAUUAGCUAAUAAAACACAGCGUGGUUUUUAUAA
Onychomys torridus (southern grasshopper mouse) is the source of this 1217-nucleotide long non-coding RNA. RefSeq lists it as uncharacterized. The record is from RefSeq and is a predicted model, not a curated record. The transcript has 2 exons. Lineage: Eukaryota; Metazoa; Chordata; Mammalia; Rodentia; Cricetidae.